GAGAGCAAGGUGGAUCCUGCCUUCGCUCCUCAGCCCAGCCCCUUGCUCCUACUCACCUGCUGAGCCAGCGCCUGGGGGUGGGGGGUGGGGGGGGGUUUAUAUUUCCUUCUCGCGUCCCCCCUACUCUCGCCCGCACGUCUCUCUGUAGAAGCAGACGCGAGUGUACUUCACCUUUCCGUGCGGGAAAGCGCUGCUGCGGGAACUUCCUCCCGGGGUUGGUGGGCUCCUGGCGGCCGCUCCGCCCUCCCCGGCUCCCCGGGGCCGGGGCAUUCUAGACACUUGCUUCCUGUCUCCGUGGGAAGGCCGCUUCUUGUCGCUCAGUCUUAAUCUUCGCUUGCCCUUCCCUUUGGACAUUUAGGGGGUCGAGGGAACGCCCCUUCCCCUGUGCGCUCCGUGGCGGGGACCUCGGGGCAGCGCCUGCCGCGGGCGGGGAUGCCGAGCCCUCGCUGACGUGGUCAGGCCUUUGGUGGAUGGAGGUCGGUCCGUUGCCAGAGGCAGAUGCUCGGCGGAGGGGCUGUGCGACCGCCGGACACUCCGUCUCGCGGAACGCGAGAGCUGAAAAGGACCCUGCAGCUUAUCUCGCCGAACGCUCUCAUUUUACAGCGAGAAGCCCAAGGUUCCUGGAGGGACCGGACUCGCCAGGCUGUAGACACCUAAUGAUGGGCAGAGCAGGAACUAAAAUCCCCGGAUCUUCAUUCUCGCAAGGCCUUUUCAUACCUGUGUCUCUCCUGACCAGCUAAGCUAACCUGGUUUAGUGUAAGGCUGCCUUGGGGACACCACACAUCUUUGCUCAUAUUAUAUAACACGUGUGCACAGGCACGCUUAAGCGUUGUCGAGUGUGAAAAGGCCUUGAUACACCAGGCUUAAGUGAACUGCUCGAGAAAUGGCUCUUGAUUACGAAGCAAUGCAGUUGUGUAGCAUCAGACCUCUUCGCAGCUUUCUUAGGAACUGGGAUGAGCCCUGGAAAUAGACUCAGAAACUUGGGGAAGCACCUGAUGUUCCCCCAGGUGGCAGUGCCAUAUUUGCACUGGUUAAUUGCCAGAGUUCCUGUUUGUGGGUGGCUCCUUGGUGGAAAAGAAUUGCAGAUGGAGGGUUUUUCUGCUGCCUGACUAAUCCCAUCCUGAUCUGUCACUGGGUCAUGUGACAGCGCUGCAGUGUGAGGAAAGGAAAGCACUUGAUUCAAUGGUUUGCCGAGAUGUGCUUUUUACACUGGGAAUGACCUGAAUGCUUAUUGGGGGUUUAUAUGAGCUGAUAUAGAUGUUUCAGGAAAUUGACAGAUGUUGCUUUCUUAUGUGGGCUUUAACGAUCAGUUUAUACCUAACAACUACGAAUUCCCUUAUGAAUUGCAUUUGUGUGUUUUGCUUUGGGUAGAAGAGAGAGGCAUUAAUGAUGCUUCUAGGAAAAAAAUUAUUAGGGAGCAAUAGUCCGUUUACGUAUAAUUAUUCAUUUAAUAUAAAUUCAGAGAGUAUCAACUGAAAUAAUGUUGUUUAGAUAGUUCAUGAUUAAGGUUGUAAGCCCUUAAGGGGAGAUGAGUAGUUAUGUCUGUGUUCUGUAUGUGCCCAGCCAGUGACUGAAGAACUUCUGCAGAGGAGAGUUCUCCCGACAAACCUGUGGCAACGCAAUUCUUAAAACUGAACCUUUAGAUUUAGAGGUCAGGAAUCCUUUUUGUAUCCUCAGUGCCUAGCACAGUGCUUGAUACAUAGAAGUACUUACCCUGUCUUGUACUUGGUUGUUUAACUUGCAUUUAAACCCCUUGUUCUAAUAGUUUAGUGGAUAGAUUCUUAACCUAGAUGGAAUUAGGUAGAGUAGGGAGUUGGGAUACUUGAUUGAGUUGAAUUUCCCUCUGUGUCUGGUUUAUUCUAAAAAGCAUAAAUGAUAUCAUACUUAGGAUAACAUUUGCAAAUAUCUUUUUUUCUGUAUUACCACAUCCUUGAUUCUAGUUAACAAUUUUAAUGCUUGUGAAUACUGAUUAAUUUUUUCUAAUUAAUGAUGAUACCAUGUUCAGUGAUAUGGCAUAGUAAUUUAAUGUGCUUUUUAAAGGAAGGAAUGGAGUAAUAUUAGCAAUUACACUGUGCAAAUUGGGUCCUGUUUUAAAACAAUUUCAGGGUUGUGGGAUUGUUAACAAGAAAUGGAAAACAACAUGUGCAGGAUUGAUAUAAUCUUGAGCACUUUAGUUGAAUUUCUAAAGUCGGAAAGGAAACCUGAUUUUCUUUUAAACUUUGAGCAAGGUUCAAUAACAUAGAGCUUUUGGAAGCGAAACAUUUUUAGAUAAUCUCUACUGUUCUUGAGACCCUAGCUAGGUUAACUUACCUUAUGUUUCUUACAUCAUAAAGCAGAGCUAGCCCCAGGCAGGUCAAAUAAAGGAAUCAUUGGCCUGCUUUUUUCUAGAACCUCUCCCUCAAUGCCCACUGCUCAGGGUGUGGGUAUAGACCCUUGCACAAUGGAAGAUGAUUGCUCUGGGUUUUUGAUUUGGUAAUAAGGUGGAGGCUGAAGGAUUAGGCUGUGAAUUGUGCAAUGGCUGUGAGUUUUCUCUUUACAAAUUUCACAAUCAUUAAGUGGUGUUAGUAGUGUUGAAUAAUCUCAUAUCCUGCAGGAGAAAGAGGAUGUCAUUUGGCAAAACCUGCUUCUUAAAAACCUUUGUAGACUUUGGUUUUAAAUAUUACCCAUAAGUAUAUAUUGCCUGCUUGAUAGUUCCAAAUCAGAGAUGUGACUUGUUGGUUGUAAAAUGUAUUUGGUAUCCUAUAUAAUAAAAGGCUAAUAUGCAAAUUGUCCCCUCAACCAGGAGUUCAACUGGGAGUUCAACCAGGGGGCAGGACUGGCAGGCCAACCACCCCCCACCCACCCCCGCCUGGUCCAAUGGGCCUGGAUCGGGUGGGCUGGCCGGACCCCACCCGUGCAUGAAUUCAUGCACCAGACCUCUAGUAUAAUGUAAACAUGUAUCUGCUGUGUUGUCAGGAGUUAUGAUCAUCACCUGCAGACCCAAAUUCUUGUUCAUUUGGACAUUUUCAAGAGAAGAAUGGCCAUUAUUUUGUGAGGGAAAACUGCUGAAGCGUCACCAUUAGAUUUUUCCUCUGCUUAAACUCUCCAGUGGCUACACUCCAUUGAAGACAGAUUGUUGUCCAGUAAUGACAAAAUGUGCAUACAAAGGGAAUCAUUGGCCA
Molecule: long non-coding RNA, 3161 nt
Organism: Myotis daubentonii (Daubenton's bat)
Lineage: Eukaryota; Metazoa; Chordata; Mammalia; Chiroptera; Vespertilionidae
Source: RefSeq, a predicted model, not a curated record